This 68-nucleotide transfer RNA is filed under the name Limbodessus palmulaoides. RNAcentral describes it as "tRNA-Ile". The record is from RNAcentral. Lineage: Eukaryota; Metazoa; Arthropoda; Insecta; Coleoptera; Dytiscidae.
AAUGAGAUGCCUGAUAAAAGGAUCAUUUUGAUGGAAUGAACAAUGUAAUUUUUUUUUUACUCUCAUUA